GACGAACGCUGGCGGCGUGCUUAACACAUGCAAGUCGAACGGAAAGGCCCUGCUUUUGUGGGGUGCUCGAGUGGCGAACGGGUGAGUAACACGUGAGUAACCUGCCCUUGACUUUGGGAUAACUUCAGGAAACUGGGGCUAAUACCGGAUAGGAGCUCCUGCUGCAUGGUGGGGGUUGGAAAGUUUCGGCGGUUGGGGAUGGACUCGCGGCUUAUCAGCUUGUUGGUGGGGUAGUGGCUUACCAAGGCUUUGACGGGUAGCCGGCCUGAGAGGGUGACCGGCCACAUUGGGACUGAGAUACGGCCCAGACUCCUACGGGGGGAAGGAGUGGGGAAUAUUGCACAAUGGGCGGAAGCCUGAUGCAGCAACGCCGCGUGCGGGAUGACGGCCUUCGGGUUGUAAACCGCUUUCGCCUGUGACGAAGCGUGAGUGACGGUAAUGGGUAAAGAAGCACCGGCUAACUACGU
This 467-nucleotide ribosomal RNA is filed under the name uncultured bacterium. Its description in RNAcentral is "partial 16S ribosomal RNA". It matches the Rfam family "Bacterial small subunit ribosomal RNA", at positions 28 to 506 of the family's 1533-position model. The record is from RNAcentral.